Molecule: non-coding RNA, 119 nt
Organism: Beta vulgaris subsp. vulgaris (sugar beet)
Lineage: Eukaryota; Viridiplantae; Streptophyta; Magnoliopsida; Caryophyllales; Amaranthaceae
Source: Rfam
GAGUGCGACCAUACCAGCAGUAAUGCACCUGAUCCCAUCAGAACACUAUAGUGAAGCGUGCUUAGGCAAGAGUAGUACUAGGAUGGGUGACCUCCUGGGAAGUCCUCGUGUUACACCCC